Long non-coding RNA from Sarcophilus harrisii (Tasmanian devil), 3186 nucleotides. NCBI's taxonomy places the organism in Eukaryota, Metazoa, Chordata, Mammalia, Dasyuromorphia, Dasyuridae. The record is from Ensembl.
AUGGGUAUUAAAAGGAUGGUUUCAUCUGAUCUUCCUUCUCUUUUCCCCUGGUUGUCCUUCACUGCACAGAAAAAUAACAGAGAAAUAAAACUGUCUCUUAAGCAAUGGAAUGAAAUAAGCCCUCCAGAAGAGACCGGAUGCUGUUCCACAUCCCCUUCAAGGCCUCUGUUUGGAAAAUUCAAUUAUGGAGGACAAAAGCACCUUUUGUAUUCAGCAAAUGGAACAGUUUAAAAGAGAGAAUUUGAAAGAUGAUGCCUUUGAGAGUCUUCAUAGCUGGCGGGAGUGGGAAUGGAGGCUCAGUACCUAAGGGAGGAGUGGCUCCCAAGGGCUGGAAUAGCAAUAGAUUUCUUCUGAGACGAAAAAGGUAAUAAACAAUUACCCUUUUCCCCUCCCUCCUUUUUUCCUAUCCUCCCCAUGGAGAUUUGAGCUGUUACCCCAAGUACUGAGGAAAGUACAAUUUGUAUUUUUCAGAAUUAUUUUUGGCCUAUGAAUGAUUUCCCAAGUGAAGUUUCUGGCUGCAUUUUCUGAGUCACCUCUGCUUUGAAAAUGGUUCUGAUGUCAAUGACGAAGCAUUAUAAUAGAUGGGGAAGUAGAGAUGUGGUCAGUUACCUUUUUAGUUAGCAGCAUAGAAAAACAAUAACUUUGAAGAUAUUUGAAAAAGAAGAAACAUGGUAGUCUAAAGGGAAAGUCAGAUCUAAUUCUUCCUCCAAUUACCAAGCCCUAUUUCUUUUCCCUCUGUGAUUUGUACUCUUGGUCCCUAUCUUUCUCCCAUCCUAUCUCAACUAGUCUUAUCCAAUCCAAUCCACUAGGAUAUCUCUGCCUUCUUGAUUCAACAGGAUUAUUUGAAAUGCAGUCACUUAAAAGUUAGAAUUGCUUCCACAGGGGGGAAAAAAAAACAAACCAAUUUCCAAAAUUGCCUAGGAGCUAUGACUAAGAGGUUUUGCACAGUAGGGUUUCGGUUGUUUUUAUUUUUUCUUAUUUUGACUAAAAGGGAAAAAAAACUCUAAAAUUAGCCUUUGGUGGUUUUUCUUUUUUUUUUUUCCUUCUUCUUUUUAAUUUAGGGCUUUGUCAACAUGAGAUUUUUUUUUUUUUUUUUUUUGCAAUAAGCAAUAUCACAAUUCCUUGACAUUUUCAUUACUGCCUCUUGACAUAUUUAGUAGGGCUUUAAAGGUCUUCUUAGCAAGAAGGAAAAAGAAAUGGCCAGUUCCAAAUGUUUCCAUAUGUUUCCACUUGCUAUCUCAGAUGCUAGAAGCCAGGCCUGGACUUACAUCUUGCAGCCCAGGAUAAUUUCCUGGGGAAAGGUAGGUCUCCUUUGCUAAACUGCUUAUUAAGACCUCAGAAUGAACUCAAUCCAAUUUAACCUAAUUCAGUUUGACAAACAUUUAAUAAGCAUCUACUGCAUAAGCCCUGCAAUCAACAAACAAUAAACAAACAUUUCUGCAGAGCCCCUUCUAUAAAAGGUUAGGUAUGGAGGAGAACAAAAAGAAAUAUGAAACCGGCUGGGUGCAGGGCUUGUUGUUCACAGUCUAGCUGCAAGAAUAUGCACAUUAAAAGAGGGUUAACAAUAUAUGGUGGUAAAAGAGGAAUGUAGGCAAUAAGCACGUUAGGACAUCAAAGAAAGCAAAGCUCCCUGUGGGCGGGGUGAACAGGGAGGACUGAGAGAGAAAGGGAAGAAAUAUUCAUUAAGUACCUACUAUGUGCCAGGCACUGUGCUAAGCACUUUACAAAUACCUGAUCCUUCAAAAAUGAAUGAAGAAGAGGGAAAAAUUCAAGAUGAAAGCAAUCUAUUGUAUAAAGGCAUGGGGGUUUUCACAGCAUAUCUGGGAGCUCAUGAGUAGACUAGUCCAGCUGAAGUGCAAGGGGGUAGGGAGUUAGUGAAAGAAGCAAUGAUUCGCAGGAUAUAAAAAUGGGGGGAACCUAAAUUCCAAUUCUAAAUGGCCUUGAAAGCUCAGACUUGAUCUGGUAGGCAAUGGGGAGCCAUUAAAAGUUUUUGAAUAGAGAAUGGUAUGAUCAAGUAUUUUAGGAGGGCAGACUGAAAAGAAAGGGAUUGGAGGAGGUAAGAUCAAUUAAGGUAAAUGAAGGGAAUCUUAAGAAAGGAAUGAGACUUUAUAGUGGAUCUUGAUCAUUGAUUGGAUGUGAGAGGCUAGGGUAGGAAGGCUAGAGAAAGUGUUGUCUGAGAACUAGGGCAAAGCAGGAUAACAAGAUAUCAGUUUUUACUAAAAUAAAGUCACUUUUUUCCUUCAUUCUUCGCUGGUUGAUAGAAGCUUGAGAAAUGAUUUAGGGGACUUGUUCUAUUUCUUUGCAGCUAGGACCUCUCACCCACCAGCACCAAAUGCCAUUUUGCCAUAGGUUGCCUCUCCCCGCCCCAAGUCCUAUUUGACAGUGUAGGCAGGAUGUUAGAGCUUUUGGACUUUGGAAUGAAAAUGAAAUGCAAAAUAAAAUGAUGAAUUUCAAUAUACUUAGUUUCUGGAAGGUUGGGGAGGAACUUCUAUAUUGGAAAGGACAGUAAAACUCCUUCAGGGGUUUAGGAUGGAGGCUAAGGGGCAAAUUAAAAGAUUAAAAAUAGUUAUUGGUUUAGGAUGUUUCAAAAUCUUCCCUGACAAAGAACUAAAUAACUUCUUGAGGUCCUUUUGAGUCUGUGAUGGACGUUCUGGGAGGCCUUUUAUGAAACUCUUCAUUUAAUGUGAAAAGAAGGGGAACAUUUCUAAAGAUGACAAAAUAGUCUUGAUCCCCGGCUUGUUCCUUCUUGGAAGUACCAUUCUCUGGGAGGAAGCCAGUCAAUCAAUGUCUGUUAUAAUGGGAGCUUCUUUGAUAUAAACUCCAUUUUCUUUGAGAAUCUGACACCUUCUACAGAGGGGAACCAUGAGAACCUUCUCUGAGAUUGUUUUUACUUCUAUUUUUCUGAGAUGGUAUAUUAAAGACAGAUACACUUGGACAAUUUAUAAUAAUGCUUCUAGAAGGGAAAGAGAGGGAAUUGGCUGGCUUACUUACAAAACCCACAGUUUUUACCCGGAAUAAAAAACUUAUCUUUUUUUUUUUUUAAUUGCAAGCACAGCCCCAAGGACCAUUCUGUCAAAAAUGAGAAACUUAAGUAAAUUAACAAGGAAACAAUAAAGAGAAGAUGUUGUUUGAAGGGGUGAGUCAAUAUUAUCUCUUUCUUCAUUCAUCUAUCAUGUUCUAAAGAAA